Molecule: non-coding RNA, 5441 nt
Organism: Equus caballus (horse)
Lineage: Eukaryota; Metazoa; Chordata; Mammalia; Perissodactyla; Equidae
Source: RefSeq, a predicted model, not a curated record
ACACAAACCUAGAUGACGUAGCCUACUACACACCUAGGCUGUAUGGUACUAAUCUUGUGGGACCACCGUCGUAUACGUGGUCUGUCGUUGACGGAAGUGUUGUUAUGUGGUACCUGACUGUACUAAAAUUUUUAAUUCAGAAGUCAUAGUUUUCAGUUUUAAGAAGUCUUUCAGUGCUUUUUCUCUCAAAUGCUCUUUUUCUGUUUAUUUAUACUUCUAUUCUUGCUCUAGCUCUUCCAGAAGUUCAAUUUCAUAAAGUGUGACUUAAGAUUCUUCAAUCUACUCCUCUCAACCAAGCUAUUUUGGAUCCUCAUAAAAGAAAACUAAAAGAGUUUGUCACUCACUGACCUGCACUACAAGAAAUGCCAAAAGAUGUUCCUCACGAUGAUGGGAAAUUAUACCAGUUACAUAAAAAAGGGUGAAGAGCAUCAGAAGUGACAAGAGAAUCUUGGAAUCACGUACUGGAGGUACCACAUUUACUCAGUGAUUACUUUGCCAUGUGAUAGCCAAUCUUCCCAGAUAUUUCAACUUCCUUCAGCAAACAAAAAUCGGAUGGUUCUGGUCCUGGGUAGAGAGAAGCAUUGUUCAUGAGAGGAAAACAUGGAAAAACGUAUUCAUCCUGGGCCCUCAGAAGUCAGGAAAGGAACCUGAAGAAUACACUUUGCCACAAGGAGGAAAAUAUGCCAGACAGGUCAUGCAAGUCUUCACUCUGCAUUUAUGUUAAAUUUAAAUUUAUCGUUUGCUUUUCUGGAUUUCUACACCAGUCUUCUGUGAGCAGGAGCAUAUGUAAGUUUUAUUUGGCCUUGAUUUACACAGUUUGUUGGGGAAGACUCUUUAAGGAAAAGAAUAUAAAUUUUGGAAUAAAAUCUUUGGUGGGAAGGUGGACAUUUACCUAGAAAAUAAAUUGCAGAAAACUAUAAAUUGAAAAAAGCUCACAAGUACCACGAACAUCGCAACAUCCAGAAAAUGAACGGUUUAGCUUCUGCCUCUAUACACUUCGAAACUUGCUCUUCCCUGCUAGCCACACACGCCCAUGCUGGGCACCAGCAAACAUUCACGUGGUGGGUGGGACCUGUGGCCCUGAACUUCAUAAGAAAGCCACAUGAGUCAAUGCAGAGGGUGGUUAGAAUAUUGCUAGAGGCUAUUCCUACUUGCAAAGCUAGCAAUAACAGUGUAGAAGUGACGACAAGCCACUAAAUAUAAUCCACUCUAUCCAAACUAAAUAUAUCCCCAACUUAGCUUUUCUUUAGCAGGAUUCCCCAUGCCUGGCCAUUCCAAUGACACUGGGGAAGUUUAAAUGGAAGAGACAGUAGUCUUAACUAAUUGCAAGUAAAAUAGUCUGUUUUUGUAAAUUUACUAAAAUGUGUGAUCAUGCGAACACAUGACUAGACUCCCUCCCCUGGGCUCAGAAGGCUCCAUGUUACUUAGGGAUCCUGAGGCUUGAGCUUGUUUAGACUCACAGCAAAUCAUGGGGAGAAGGAGAAAGAAUGCCAGAAUCUGAUCAGAUCUAGAACCCCAAGGAUUUCCAGUGGCUGAGUUUACAGAGCUGAGGGUUAAAGAUUGACCAGGGUGGAUUCUACACAAUAAACGAAGGCCAUGUUUGCAGCCCAUCGGUAGCACCCUGUGCAUCACCAAGCACUACAUGUUGAGAUGUUUAGAAAUUCCACCAGCCUUUGAGGCUUUGUGACAGGACAUGCUCUGAUAUUUCCCCCUUUUUCCAGACCUGUCUGUCUUCUCCUCCAGAUGUGUGAAAGGAAAUGAUAGAAAGGAGCAUGAAGUUACAAAAAGGGGAAAGUAGCUUCUGAAAGUGAUCUCCAUGGCAGUGAGAUGGUCAAAUGAAAGGCAAAUGGGGGAGUGGGACUACCUGAGUCUGGAUUUCUGUCUUCACCAACUGUGAGACCUUGGCCAUGUUAUGAAUCCCUCUGUGCCUGAGUUUACUCAAUUGUACAAUAGGAAUCAUAACAGUACCUCCCUUAUUGUGUUGUCAUAAGGACUAAAUGAGUUAAUACAUAUAAAGCAUGUAGAACAGUGCCAGGCACGCAGGAACCACUCAAUGAAAGUUGGCCGUUAUUAUUUGGAAAGUAAGACAUUUUAAAAUGCGAUUUCCAAAGCAGUAGCAGAGAUUUUUGGAUUUAUUUCCACUCUCCUCUUUUAAUACUUAAAUUAGCAUCCUUCCAAGUCCAGUUCCUGGGUAACGGCUUGUUGCUAUUUUAGGCCAUCUGUGAUCUUCAAUAGCACCAAGUUUGGCGUUUCCAAUCCACAGCUAGGUCGCGUUGCAACUUUUAGUGAUCUGUUGUCUGUUUAUUUGCAGAAUUGGUCACAAUUUGGUCUUUUUUGUUUAAAUUGUCUACAUUAGCUCUUAAAACUCUGCAGCCGUCUACUGGGGCGCCAGCAUUUGGAUGGGUGUUAUAACACUACAUUUUCUCUUCAUUACAAGUCCUAAAAAUAGGGUGCAACUGACUAACGUUUUCAGCCUUCACAGCAAGAUUUGGUUUGUCAGGAAAUGGUGUGGGAGUAGUUCUCAUAUGCACUGAAGGUGCAAAGUGCAAAACAAAAAUAACUCAACAAGAGUUUAACAGCCCUCCUUUAUGUACGUUAUUUACAAAGGCCACAAUCUGGAGUUCCAGGCAGAGCCUUAGGAAGCUCGAGAGACCCUUCUGGAAGGGGAAAAAAUGCCAAUAUAGAUUACACAAAAGAGAAGAUGGUAUAAAGAGAGACAAGGUUUAAUCUGUUAUCUCUGCCCUCUUUAUCAGUAUUCGUGUCUGCUCAGGCAUCAAAAGGACUUUGAGUUUAGUCAAACUUGGAAGAGUUCUUUAAUAAUACAAUGCAUAAAACACAUACGAGAAACUUCUAAACCAUUGCUGGUUUCAUUUUUAUUUGUAAAAUUUCCCCCAUCCUCUCUAGUGGGUGACUACUUUUCUUUCAGCUGUCUUAAUUUCUUGCUUGAAACGAGACAUGUUGCAUUAGUGAAUCUUAAUUGCAUUUUCACUUUCUGUGGCUUCAUAACGUUUAGGGGCAAAUAUUUUGCAAACAUUGAGACACUUCUGAAUUAUUAGUUCUACCCUUCAAUAGAAAUUCUAAAUAUUGUCAGAAGUCAGGAGAAAAACAGUUGUCUUCAUUAGUAUUAUGACAGUAAAGGAAAAGAAAAAGCCGUGAUGUUUGGUGCAUUCUUUAUUCCAACUCUAAUAAACAUCACAUUCUUGAUUAGGCUAUAAGAGUUCAGAGGUACAUAAUGAAAUAAUUUUGCUGCAAUUUUUAAAAGUUAAAAAAAUAUUUUUUGCUGUCUAGCUUGCUGUUAGUCUUUCCAUUACCAACUUAGAAGAAAAUUCUUGCGCAUCUCAAUGCAUUGGGGAUGAGCUCUUUAUUUUCAUGCCAAUGAAAUAUUGUCACAAACACCUUGUUCAGGCAGAAGAAGAUUUAGAAUAGCUUUGCUUUAUCACAGCUUGCAAUGUAGUUUUGGACUACUUAGACUCAUACAAAUGAAAUAACCAGAGCUUUCCCCCUUUACUUUUUUUGAGUUACUUUCUCAUCAAAAGUUUUUCAGUUUUACAGUAUGGAAAACUUUUUCUUUGUGCUUAAAAAUCAGAAAGAAAAACACACACUAUUUUAUUUAAGGAGCAAAAAGGAUGAUGGAUUAAAGUAGAUGUGGAGUGUUUGCAGUUAUAUAAGACUAUUAGGGACCCUGCUUGUUCUGGUUUUUGUAAUUUGUCCAUGUCCUACUUUAUAUAACUCAAUCCAUUGUGAGCCAAACAUGAAAUAAGCGAAUACAGUAUUCCAUAUUUCACUUUGUCAGCAAAUUAAAAAAAGUAUAGAACAAACACAAUAGUCAUCAUGGUUCUUGAAUAGAGAACGAAACAUUUUUCAAAUCCCAGGGACCUGUAAGAAACAGAAGGUUAAGGAGAUUUCUUUUAACAAUGAGCAGAUGUGUUUGUUACUGUUGAUGGACAAGCUUAUCCAUUUACUUCAAUUAAUAACAAGAGUGAGCACAUCAAUACAUAAGCUUGUCCUGAUGCCUUGAUUUUUUUCCAAUUUGACAGGUAAUAGUGGGGCUGGGAACAUGUCACAACAAUUUAGUCCUGCCUCACUAGCUUUAACUAGUUCAAUGACAAUGGGAACGCAUCUUGCUAAGAUUUCUUAUUAUUCAUAAAAAUACUACGUUUGUUGACUCUUACAGAGGGUUUAAAAUCUGUGACAAUUAAUAGUUUAAAAUCAAAUCCUUUCAUGGGUUAUUCAUUUGAGCACUAAGUAAAAUCAAGUUAAAAUAUUUAUGAACACUAUGAAAAUGUGGAAACUUUCUUUAGGAACCUGUCCUUUCAUAUUGAGUCAUAAAUGAAACCAACUAUGUUUGACAAAGAAAGGCCAUUUCAUCAUACGGCUGAGCUCUAACCCCUUCCCAUGUUCUAAAGGAUAUUUUCUACAAUCUGACAGAUUUUGUCAGAGAAACUCUACUGAUUUUAAAAACCCAUGGUCUCACAAAUGUUACUGUAUGAGAGCAAAUUAUGCCUCCAGCAAACUUGACAAUGGAUAUCAAAAUGUAAUAAUAUCAGUAAAUCGCUUCAAUGCUCACUGACGCAGUAAAUACGUGCUUUCCUCUUAAUAGUAAAUGAUUAAUACCUGGCAGGAGGGGAGAAGGAAAUUGGCAAUUUCUUUUUAGAGAAAAAGUAAAAGCCCAUUUAUACUAUUCUGGGGCCAAUGGAAUUAGUAUAGGAAGCAGCCUCAUAUGCUCCAUAGAGAUGUGACAUAUCUCAGAGAAUGCUCAUGGCAUGGACAAAUUGCAGCUUCUUCAGGGCAAGAACAGCAUCAUAUUCAUCUCUGCAUCUCCACGGUGUCUAAUACAACCCUUCUUAUACAUAAGGAGGUCAACAAAUGUUUUCUCGCAACAUUCUUCUAGACCGCUCCCUACAGGACAGCUAACCAAGUGUCUUAAAAAUAGAGGCAUAAAACUUAAGGUUUGUAGAAAGUUUGGAGAAAAGCCUUACACAGCUCUCCCCAAAACUUAUCUUCUCACUACUGUGCACUCCCCACUUCAUUCUGUGUUAUCAUCUCGGUGAGGCCCUCCCUGACACUUUGAGCACCCUCAGAAUGAAUCACACAUUCUUUGACCACAGUACCUGUAUAUAACUUUAAUACUGCACUUAUUAUUUUAAAUUUUAACAACUUUUUUGUCUCUGCAACCAUGUUUGAAAUCUGCAGAUACUUUCUUCUUAUUUAUCAUUGAAUCAUCUGCUUCUAGUCCUGAGUAAAUGUGCAAUAAAUUUUGAAUUGCUCUGAAUUGUUGAUGCCAAUCUAAAUCCUUUGGGCCCUGGUAGUCACAGAAGGGCUACCAUUUUGUUACAAGGAGGUGGGACAAAAGAGUAAAAGCAAGUGUUGUGGGCUGAAUUGUGACCCCCUCCCUCCCACCACCAAACUCAUAUGUUGAUGUCCUAACCCCCAGUACCUCA